Long non-coding RNA from Anser brachyrhynchus (Pink-footed goose), 1597 nucleotides. The record is from Ensembl. Lineage: Eukaryota; Metazoa; Chordata; Aves; Anseriformes; Anatidae.
AAUGGGCAAAGAUGUACACCAGAUAAUGAAUUUUCUGAAACAGAACAGAAUGCCAGGAAGUCAAAAAUGAGAGAUGAGGCAAAACUACCUGAAAAGGGAAUAUGUAAUGAAGAAGUUCUAAAAAAUAUACAAGAGGCAGAAAAUAGGGCCACCAGAAAGCAAACUUUAGAUGAUGCACUAGAUAUUGUUCCUGAUUCUCAGCCAACAGGGAGAAGCAACAAACAUCCGUAAGUAUUGGAAAAGAAUGCCAAGUCACUGCUGUUUUAUGACUUACUUAUGACUACUUCAUGAAAAGGUUAUUCUGUUGUCUUAAACAGAUUCACCAUUUAGUUAGUCUUUGAUUGCUUUGAGAAUAAUACUCAUUAAAAGUAAUGUUUAGUAGUACCAUGGAGAGUAAUUAUCUCAGAUGACAUCAGAAGGUAAGAUAAAAAUGACAUGGGAUCACAUAUAAGUAGGUGAACUGUGCCAUAAGAAGCAGCAGACUUCAUCAAGUUCUAACUCUUGUAGACACGCCACAGAGUUAUCUGGGUUCAAGUUUAAUGAUGGCCAUCAGGCAUUGUUGCCUUUUUGAAACUGACUUAAAAAUGUGUAUUGUUUGUGAAGGUUUGCCAUUUAACAGUACAUUGGUUAAUUGAACAAUGGUAGCAGGCUUAGCGCUAACGUAAAAUGCUCUGAUAUGUAUAAGCCAUCACUAUUUUCCUAUGUUGUGGUGUACGUUUGUUGUAGUUCAGACACACACACUUUCUAAAAUUUACUGAUAAUAUGAUGGUAUCAUUUCUAUUAGACUGCCUGGUCUUUUGGAAAGUUCUUCUGAUAAAAAAAGAACAUGGAAAAAAAGAGCGUGUUCUGUUCCUGAGAAGAAUAUAACAACUGGUGGCAGGCAAAAACUAAAUCUGACAUCAGGACCUACAUCCCAUUCAGGUUAUGUUCAUAUUUUGUUAAUUGUUAGUGUUAAAAAUGUUUCAGAUGAGUUUUUAACCUAUGGCUCUGCUUUCUUUCUGUAUUAGUUCCUGUUUUUAACAAAAGAGAUGUGAAACAAAAUGUUUUUUAUUCAGUUUGUGGAAAUACCUCUCCAGAUAAACAAAUAAAUAAAAAAAGAGAAAAACAGCAGCAAAAUGGAAUUGAAAUCAGGAGGGAAGAAAACUGCAAAAUACUGAGUGGACAGUCAAAGAGCAUUAAUAAUUUGGAACUGAAACAGUUGAAUACAGAAAUUAAAAAUACUUCAACUACUGCUGAAACAUUUAAAACAUAUCUUUCAGCUAGAGUGUCAGAAACAUCUUUGCAUUCUGAUUUUACAAAAUACAGCAAUAUGGAAGAAGAAGCUGAUGUUCUCUCAGGAAAAGAGACUUCAAAUAAUAAACAGUCAAAAACGAAAAAAAAGUCUAAAGAAAUGACAGAUGCAACAAAAUCACUAAUUACUAAAAUCAGUGACAGAUAUAAAGAAAAGACUAACGAGAAAAGCAAAACAAGAGACUCCUCAGGUUUCAACAGACCAUGUUUAAGUAAAUCUUGUUUCAGUGUUAAUAAGGAAAAAGUUCAAAAUAGAAGCUUGAAAACUACUACUUUCCUUGAUACAACCGCUGGACAUAUUUUGUAA